Long non-coding RNA from Propithecus coquereli (Coquerel's sifaka), 222 nucleotides. RefSeq lists it as uncharacterized. NCBI's taxonomy places the organism in Eukaryota, Metazoa, Chordata, Mammalia, Primates, Indriidae. The record is from RefSeq and is a predicted model, not a curated record. The transcript has 2 exons.
GCUUUUCUCAAACCUUCAUUUCCUAGGACCAAGACCCCUGGACCUGGAGCCCAGUCAGCCCUCAGAGCCCUGGCCCGCUCUGGUAUGAAGAUCGGGCGGAUUGAGGACGUCACUCCCAUCCCCUCCGACAGCACCCGCAGGAAGGGGGGUCGCCGUGGUCGCCGACUGUGAACUGGACUCCACGAUAUUUUCUGUUAAUAAAAUGCCUUCGUGUAAACUAUU